RNAcentral lists this ribosomal RNA (406 nucleotides) under uncultured bacterium. RNAcentral's name for it is "partial 16S ribosomal RNA". It matches the Rfam family "Bacterial small subunit ribosomal RNA", at positions 30 to 526 of the family's 1533-position model. The record is from RNAcentral.
AUUGAACGCUGGCGGCAGGCUUAACACAUGCAAGUCGAACGAGUGGCGGACGGGUGAGUAAUGUUUGGGAAUCUAGCUUAUGGAGGGGGAUAACUACGGGAAACGGUAGCUAAUACCGCGUACUAUAGGAUGAGCCCAUGUGGGAUUAGGUAGUUGGUGGGGUAAAGGCUCACCAAGACGACGAUCUCUAGCUGGUCUGAGAGGAUGACCAGCCACACUGGGACUGAGACACGGCCCAGACUCCUACGGGAGGCAGCAGUGGGGAAUAUUGCGCAAUGGGCGCAACCCUGAUGCAGCCAUGCCGCGUGAAUGAAGAAGGCCUUCGGGUUGUAAAGUUCUUUCGGUAGCGAGGCGUUACCUGCAGAAGAAGCAACGGCUAACUCCGUGCCAGCAGCCGCGGUAAUUC